This 233-nucleotide unclassified non-coding RNA is filed under the name Hevea brasiliensis (rubber tree). The record is from RNAcentral. Lineage: Eukaryota; Viridiplantae; Streptophyta; Magnoliopsida; Malpighiales; Euphorbiaceae.
UGGAAAGGGAAAACAUAGAUCAGAUCAUGAAUGCCAGAUAAUUCGUAACUUUGAAUUCUUUGCAAGCAAAUGCUAUGCAUAAAGCUGAUGAAAUCUAGAAAGUGGUAGAUUCCAUUUCCAAGGGUUGUCCUGUCCUGGCUCACCAAUAGGGUGCAUGAAGGAUGCUUCAUCUUUCAGCAACCCAGGCUGUUGAUCAAUUUGUAUGCAAUUUUGAGACUUCCUCAAUCCAUCCA